GUGACCUUGAACAGUGGGGUGACCUCAGGCAUUCCUUGAUUCUGUGAAACAAAGGUAUACCUCUGACUUCCUUAUCACCCUUCCCAACCCCACAUCUGGGAAUCAUAUUUGUGACACAAAACCUGUUUUGCAGGUAAGUCCCUGGAAUCCCAGGCCCCAGCUCUGACUCUACACUUGGCUUCCUCCCAGGCCCUCAACCUAGCGCGAGGGUGAGUUGGUUCUGAACAAGCAAACAAAUGAGUCUUGAGAUACCGAAAGUUUCUUUAAAGAGGAGUGGAGGGGAGGAAAGAAGAAUGAGGUGUGGAGUGGGGGAGCCCUUCUUUCCUCCCCACCCCUCUCCACCCCUGAGCCUCCACCGCACUUACUACUCUCUCAACACGUCUUGUUUGUUUACUUGAUUUUUGUCUGUCCCUCCCAUGAUCCCAGCAGGCAGGAAGCAUCUUGUUUCCCGAUGCAUCCUCAGUGAGGACCUGCACAGGGACAGAGCAGGCACAUGUUUACUAAGCAGCUGGUGAAUGAAUGUCAAGUUUUUUGAAAUGACAACGCACUACUUUUGCAAAAUCAAGUCUUUUCUUUCUUUCUUUUUCUCGAAAGAAUUUUUUAAAGCCUCUAGGUUACUGUAGAGGACUCUACCCACCCUCAGGGUGGCAGCGCAGAGAUAACGAAAGGGUGCACGGUGACGAUGAGACGCGGGCUGGAGGCGGAAGAGCGCGGGAUAGGGAACCAAGGG
Molecule: long non-coding RNA, 730 nt
Filed under: Marmota monax (woodchuck)
Lineage: Eukaryota; Metazoa; Chordata; Mammalia; Rodentia; Sciuridae
Source: RNAcentral